This 423-nucleotide ribosomal RNA is filed under the name uncultured bacterium. RNAcentral's name for it is "bacterial SSU rRNA". It matches the Rfam family "Bacterial small subunit ribosomal RNA", at positions 358 to 773 of the family's 1533-position model. The record is from RNAcentral.
GGAAUUUUGGACAAUGGGGGAAACCCUGAUCCAGCCAUGCCGCGUGCGGGAAGAAGGCCUUCGGGUUGUAAACCGCUUUUGUCAGGGAAGAAAUCCCUUGGGCUAAUAUCCUGAGGGGAUGACGGUACCUGAAGAAUAAGCACCGGCUAACUACGUGCCAGCAGCCGCGGUAAUACGUAGGGUGCGAGCGUUAAUCGGAAUUACUGGGCGUAAAGCGUGCGCAGGCGGUCGUGCAAGACAGAUGUGAAAUCCCCGGGCUCAACCUGGGAACUGCAUUUGUGACUGCACGGCUGGAGUGCGGCAGAGGGGGAUGGAAUUCCGCGUGUAGCAGUGAAAUGCGUAGAUAUGCGGAGGAACACCGAUGGCGAAGGCAAUCCCCUGGGCCUGCACUGACGCUCAUGCACGAAAGCGUGGGGAGCAAAC